This 595-nucleotide ribosomal RNA is filed under the name uncultured organism. RNAcentral describes it as "bacterial SSU rRNA". It matches the Rfam family "Bacterial small subunit ribosomal RNA", at positions 335 to 930 of the family's 1533-position model. The record is from RNAcentral.
ACUCCUACGGGAGGCAGCAGUAGGGAAUAUUGGGCAAUGGAUGCAAGUCUGACCCAGCCAUGCCGCGUGCAGGAAGAAGGUCCUCUGGAUUGUAAACUGCUUUUUUGGGGGAAGAAUAGUUUUCUUGCGAGGAAAUGUGACGGUACCCUAAGAAUAAGCCACGGCUAACUACGUGCCAGCAGCCGCGGUAAUACGUAGGUGGCAAGCGUUGUCCGGAUUUAUUGGGUUUAAAGGGUGCGUAGGUGGUUUGAUAAGUCAGUGGUGAAAGCCGGUUGCUCAACAAUCGAGUUGCCAUUGAUACUGUCGGACUUGAGAGAAGUGGAGGUUCAUGGAAUGGAUGGUGUAGCGGUGAAAUGCAUAGAUAUCAUCCAGAACGUCGAUUGCGAAGGCAGUGGGCUGUACUUUAUCUGACACUGAGGCACGAAAGUGUGGGGAUCAAACAGGAUUAGAUACCCUGGUAGUCCACACUGUAAACGAUGCGAACUAGCUUUUUGGUUUUUGGAUUGGGAGGCUAAGGGAAACCGAUAAGUUCGCCACCUGGGGAGUACGCCGGCAACGGUGAAACUCAAAGGAAUUGACGGGGGUCCGCACAAGC